ACGGAAGGCAGCAGUGAGGAAUAUUGGUCGAUGGACGCAAGUCUGAACCAGCCAUGCCGCGUGAAGGAUUAAGGCCCUAUGGGUCGUAAACUUCUUUUGUACGGGAGCAAUAAGGUUCACGUGUGGACCGAUGAGAGUACCGUACGAAUAAGCAUCGGCUAACUCCGUGCCAGCAGCCGCGGUAAUACGGAGGAUGCGAGCGUUAUCCGGAUUUAUUGGGUUUAAAGGGUGCGUAGGCGGCUUGGUAAGUCAGCGGUGAAAUGUCGGGGCUCAACCUCGGAACUGCCGUUGAUACUGUCAGGCUUGAAUGCGGAUGCCGUGGGAGGAAUGUGUGGUGUAGCGGUGAAAUGCAUAGAUAUCACACAGAACACCGAUUGCGAAGGCAUCUCACGAAUUCGCGAUUGACGCUGAGGCACGAAAGUGCGGGGAUCAAACAGGAUUAGAUACCCUGGUA
RNAcentral lists this ribosomal RNA (454 nucleotides) under uncultured bacterium. RNAcentral's name for it is "partial 16S ribosomal RNA". It matches the Rfam family "Bacterial small subunit ribosomal RNA", at positions 341 to 792 of the family's 1533-position model. The record is from RNAcentral.